CUCAAAGCGUGAUAACAGUUGGGCCUGGCCUAGACUUGGGGUUCGGGAAGGCCUGUCAGGGGAGACGAUGCUGCACAGAAGCAGGAAGAGUCCCAGAAGAGGGAAAGUGGGAAGGGCUAACAAAACCCAGGAUGCUGGAACAUAAAAAAUGGGUGAGUCACACAAGAGGAACCCCAAAAUAGCCCAAGCUGGAUGAUGCAGAGCUUCAAAAGUCACAGUAAGGAUUUGGAGUUUAGUGCUCGUGUCCUGGGAAGCUAGAGAAGGGCUUUUCAGGGACGAGAUAUGAGCUGAGAGAGAUGUUAAGUGGUGCCAGAGAAGAGUGGUGUGACAAAGAUGUGACACCCUGACAUCAUUCUUACCGAGGGUUCUUACCACAAAGCAGGGCAGGGAGGUGCUGGGGUGAGACCCCAGUCUCCUGGCAUUUAGUUCCAUGCUCUUUGACUUUUACUUCUCUGCCCAUGAGUUAAAGUGCUCACAAAAAUCCAGGCAAAACUUUUCAUUUAAACAUGUUGGAUUGCCAUGCAUUUGUUUUUCCCUGCCCCAGAAAUGUCUGUGCAGAAAUAAAAAUACAACAAAUUCACAGAGGAAAAAAAUAGAAGAUAAAACUUUUUUUAAAAGAGGAAAUAAAUAAUAAAAUAAAAAUGUUGAUAAUGAAAAAUGGAUGAGAGAAGAUAACUCGGUUGACAGAAUGGAGGAGGAGGAAACACAUGUGUCCACAAAAAGAAAAACAAAGUGGGAGGCGAAAGAAAAGCAAGCUGAUGUCCCACAACAGGCUCCUGGAAAUGCUCAAAAUUGAGGGUAGAUGUCUCCUUUUAAAAACAGCAGGACCACCUAAAAGUCUGUAUAAAGAAAAUUUCCAUCCCAAGUUGCCCUUUCUCCACUAAAUGGCAGGUGGAAGGUUCCUUCUCAGGAGAAAUUGAACCAGAGAGUCUCUUGGAGUGGCAGACGACAUAGAUGGGAGGAGGAGGUGCCCUCUGAAGCCUUCAGUCAGCAGAGGGAUGGCACUGCCCCUUCAGACUUUCUGAGACAUCAGAAGAGUUCUAUGUGAUUCACAUAGAGCAGAGUUCGGCGUUGCAGACAAAUCAAAGGCCUACCACAAAUUUGACUUAAUGAAUCACUUUGACUUUGUUACUGAGUUUACUCAUCUAUUGAACAAGAGGAGAACAGAUCUCUGACUGCUGAAGUAUAAAUACAAACAACGGAGUCAAAUUGGAAAUAGGAUAA
Molecule: long non-coding RNA, 1224 nt
Organism: Homo sapiens (human)
Lineage: Eukaryota; Metazoa; Chordata; Mammalia; Primates; Hominidae
Exons: 3
Source: RefSeq, a predicted model, not a curated record